RNAcentral lists this transfer RNA (64 nucleotides) under Hygrotus inaequalis. RNAcentral's name for it is "tRNA-Arg". The record is from RNAcentral. Lineage: Eukaryota; Metazoa; Arthropoda; Insecta; Coleoptera; Dytiscidae.
AAAUAGAAAGUAAAAUUUACAUUUAGUUUCGACCUAAAAAUGUGGCACCGUGUGCCUCUAUUUA